This 611-nucleotide long non-coding RNA is filed under the name Capsicum annuum. RNAcentral's name for it is "long non-coding RNA (CANN_LNC002275)". Lineage: Eukaryota; Viridiplantae; Streptophyta; Magnoliopsida; Solanales; Solanaceae. The record is from RNAcentral.
AGAAGUAAGAAAAAAAUCAAGAGUGAGAAAAUAGUCUUCUAAAGUUUUCUUGUUCAUAAAGUUCUUAGUUUGUUCAUAGAAAAAAAAAGAGUGUGCAGUGUAUGUUAGUCUUUUAUUACUUCAUUUUUCGGUAGCCGCUAGCUUUCAGGGGACUCCCGAAAGGGAAACCUUACUUCUUCCUUAAGACAUAUAAGUAGUCGUUAUAUAGUUCUUUGUACUUUUCUCCCUAAUUUGUAAAUUAUAUUUGAAUUAAUGAAGUUCAUAUUUUCUUUCUGAUAUGCUUUUAAUAUUAUAGAUCUGGACGACCGUGCAGAUUACCGCUAAUUUUAUGAUCUUGUAAAACUUAGUAAAUUACUUAUUAGUACAUAUGUUUAAAUAUUAUAGAUCUGGAUAGCUGUGCGGAUUACCGCCAGUUGUUCGAUCUUAUCAUAUUGGUAAAUUAUUUAUAAAUAUAUCCCUAGUAUAUGAUUAUUUUCUUAGUGUUUUAGCAGUAACGAUGGAUUAAUCUGUAAAUUUCAAGGGAUUUGAAAAGUCCAAAGAAGAUUAAAAAAGAACUGUUGUUAUUGUCCGGGGGUGUGAUUAAAGAAUAUAUUGCUAAAAUAUCUAAAACU